Molecule: ribosomal RNA, 661 nt
Filed under: uncultured organism
Description: bacterial SSU rRNA
Rfam family: Bacterial small subunit ribosomal RNA
Source: RNAcentral
CGGCUUAGAGUUUGAUCAUGGCUCAGGAUGAACGCUGGCGGCGUGCUUAACACAUGCAAGUCGAGCGAAGCGCUUAAAUAGAUUUCUUCGGAUUGAAGUUUUUGUGACUGAGCGGCGGACGGGUGAGUAACGCGUGGGCAACCUGCCCCAUACCGGGGGAUAACAGCUGGAAACGGCUGCUAAUACCGCAUAAGCGCACAGUGCCGCAUGGCACGGUGUGAAAAACUCCGGUGGUAUGGGAUGGGCCCGCGUUGGAUUAGCCAGUUGGCAGGGUAACGGCCUACCAAAGCGACGAUCCAUAGCCGGCCUGAGAGGGCGACCGGCCACAUUGGGACUGGGACACGGCCCAAACUCCUACGGGAGGCAGCAGUGGGGAAUAUUGCACAAUGGGGGAAACCCUGAUGCAGCGACGCCGCGUGAGCGAAGAAGUAUUUCGGUAUGUAAAGCUCUAUCAGCAGGGAAGAAAAUGACGGUACCUGACUAAGAAGCCCCGGCUAACUACGUGCCAGCAGCCGCGGUAAUACGUAGGGGGCAAGCGUUAUCCGGAUUUACUGGGUGUAAAGGGAGCGUAGACGGGACAGCAAGUCUGAUGUGAAAGGCGGGGGCUCAACCCCCGGACUGCAUUGGAAACUGUUGGCCUGGAGUACCGGAGGGGUAAGCG